ACUUAAAUAAUAUACUUAUUAUAUUUGAUUUCCAAUCAAAAAAUCUAAUUCUUAAUUAGUUUAAGUA
Molecule: transfer RNA, 67 nt
Filed under: Scolytinae sp. BMNH 1043031
Lineage: Eukaryota; Metazoa; Arthropoda; Insecta; Coleoptera; Curculionidae
Description: tRNA-Gly
Source: RNAcentral